UUGAACCGUAUGUAGUAUGCAUAUUACCUAUGAACCAUCUAUGCAUAUGAUAUGGUGGAUAUUCUAUGCAUACUAUGUUAACUCAUAUGUAACAACACAUAUCGUAACCAUGUUCUAGAGCCUAUAUAGUGUAUUAGUAAAAAUUCAUGAGCAUAUAUUCCUACAUAAUAUUAUAAAGAUGUUUACUGAAGUCUAGUUAUAAUGUAUAUAUGCCUAAGUUGUUUGGUUCUAUAAAUAUAAGAUUUCGAGUCAUAUGACAAUAUGUGUCAACCAUGUACUAUUUAGGAGUAAUAAACAUAGAAUAAUUAAUUGUAAUCCAUAUGAACAAUUCUUUGUUCAUAAGUCAUAAGCACAACAUAUUGGUCUAUACCAUUCAACAUAAUAGUAUUAAAAUGAUAGAUUGUAUAUAGUAUAAUUUAGCAACCCUAUAUACAUAGCAUAUGAAGU
Molecule: long non-coding RNA, 447 nt
Filed under: Vitis vinifera (wine grape)
Lineage: Eukaryota; Viridiplantae; Streptophyta; Magnoliopsida; Vitales; Vitaceae
Description: long non-coding RNA (VVIN_LNC002946)
Source: RNAcentral